Long non-coding RNA from Oenanthe melanoleuca, 234 nucleotides. RefSeq lists it as uncharacterized. The transcript has 3 exons. The record is from RefSeq and is a predicted model, not a curated record. Lineage: Eukaryota; Metazoa; Chordata; Aves; Passeriformes; Muscicapidae.
ACCCCAGUACAGCCCAGUACAGCCCACACAACCCCAGUACAGCCCAGUACAACCCCAGAGCAACCCAGCACAACCCAGCACAACCCAGCACAACCCAGCACAACCCAGUACAACCCAGUACAACCCCACAGCAACCCCAGCACAACCCCACACAACCCCAGCACCAGCUCCUUCAGACAUCCAGCACAGCCAGGCUCCUGGUCACCCCAAACCUGGAGCAGGGUCACCCCAAAA